Molecule: non-coding RNA, 222 nt
Organism: Vicia faba (fava bean)
Lineage: Eukaryota; Viridiplantae; Streptophyta; Magnoliopsida; Fabales; Fabaceae
Source: the annotation of a GenBank genome assembly
AUGACAGGUUAUAUAGUGGGCAGAUCGAUCAUCAACUUCUUCAUAACUAUGUAUACUAAGGCAUUGGAUGACAGGUUAUAUAGUUCGGAAAAUCUGUGUAAAGUACAAAAAAACACUCGAGAGGUAAGGAAUGGAAAGGAAAGUUCUGUAAUAUUUAUAAUUGUAAUUAUUACAGUUGAAUUAGAGAUAUCUAGUCUAACCAGUAUUGUUGUUUGUAAUUAA